RNAcentral lists this small RNA (107 nucleotides) under Aquimarina sp. MAR_2010_214. Its description in RNAcentral is "Flavo-1 RNA". It matches the Rfam family "Flavo-1 RNA". Lineage: Bacteria; Pseudomonadati; Bacteroidota; Flavobacteriia; Flavobacteriales; Flavobacteriaceae. The record is from RNAcentral.
UUGUAUGCGUUAGGGAUAGCAGUGGCAUCCUUUUUUGUUAUCCUUAAACCUCUUAAAAAAACGUUGGAUCGGUAACAAAAAAGAUAUAACGAAUAGCCCGACCCUGA